This 71-nucleotide transfer RNA is filed under the name Winogradskyella sp. RNAcentral's name for it is "tRNA-Cys". It matches the Rfam family "tRNA". From Rfam's summary of the family: Transfer RNA (tRNA) molecules are approximately 80 nucleotides in length. Their secondary structure includes four short double-helical elements and three loops (D, anti-codon, and T loops). Further hydrogen bonds mediate the characteristic L-shaped molecular structure. tRNAs have two regions of fundamental functional importance: the anti-codon, which is responsible for specific mRNA codon recognition, and the 3' end, to which the tRNAs corresponding amino acid is attached (by aminoacyl-tRNA synthetases). tRNAs cope with the degeneracy of the genetic code in two manners: having more than one tRNA (with a specific anti-codon) for a particular amino acid; and 'wobble' base-pairing, i.e. permitting non-standard base-pairing at the 3rd anti-codon position. The record is from RNAcentral. Lineage: Bacteria; Pseudomonadati; Bacteroidota; Flavobacteriia; Flavobacteriales; Flavobacteriaceae.
GGUGUCGUGGCCGAGUGGCUAGGCUUGGGUCUGCAAAACCUACUACAGCGGUUCGAAUCCGCUCGACACCU